CUAAACUGCAGUGUAAGUCACUUGAGGCUUGAGGGUUUUUUUUUUUUCCCCUCAGUAUGCAAAUUGGGGAGGGCAGUCGGUAAAUCCUUCCCUUUCAUCAGCCUCUAACCCUGCAGGGCUUGGAAUGCCUUUCUCUCAAGUCCUCAGCUACCCGACCAAUUCAGCACCCCUUCUCUGUAAGGGGUCCUCAGAGGCAUUCACUACUUCCUGAAGAGCAGGAACCACCGGCUUGUUCUUCAAUGAACUGUCUUCCUGGUCCCUGACCGCCUCCCUCCUUCUGCACUCCUUUCCUCAUGGGAGGUUCUUUUUUGAUGUGUCAAGUCAAGAAUCUUGGCAAGUAGGCCACUACUCAGAGGGAUACCAUCUUCAUCGGUGGCAUUGUUGUCCCUGAGGUUCUGCUAUCAAGUUUUAACCUGUUGCUCUGUCACCUGCACUCAGCUAUCACAGACCGCCACGGAAGAAACCGGCCCAGCAGGAGCUCUAGCGGGCUAGUGUCCUGGAUACAUCAGAGGCUUCUCGGAGAUGCUGUGAGCCCCAGAACCGGCCCAUGUCCGUAUCCUCAUUGACACUGUGUUCAGCCCUUGUCACGUGUUUGUAAGCCAUGGUUCAUUUGAAGAGGCAGAGCCAUUCUGCCUAUAAAGAAUGAGAUGGAUUAUAACAAGCCGACUUUAUGUGGGGUAGGAGCUUGACCUUGAUCCUCUGCAGGAUCUUGUUCCAUGGCCAGCAGGACAGAAAGCUGGGAAGGAAAUUCACACUGUUGGGGACCAAGGGCAAGCUGGAGCCCACACUGUAUCCAGUGUCUUCCAUUAUGUCCCAGGAGGUGAAGAACCAACAGAGGACCAAGUGUGGGAGCCCACACUGUAUCCAGUGUCUUCCAUUAUGUCCCAGGAGGUGAAGAACCAACAGAGGACCAAGUGUGGGAGCCUACACUGUAUCCAGUGUCUUCCAUUAUGUCCCAGGAGGUGCAGAACCAACAGAGGACCAAGUGUGGGAGCCCACACUGUAUCCAGUGUCUUCCAUUAUGUCCCAGGAGGUGAAGAACCAACAGAGGACCAAGCGUGGCAAGAAUGAACGCAGUGGCUGUGUCAUCCCAGGACAUGGCCAGGUGGACCCAUGUCCGUUGCUUCAGUGUCUCUCUGUCCUGGCUUUCUGAUAUAAAUAGGGCCGUCUCAUUCUA
Myodes glareolus (Bank vole) is the source of this 1177-nucleotide non-coding RNA. Lineage: Eukaryota; Metazoa; Chordata; Mammalia; Rodentia; Cricetidae. The record is from RefSeq and is a predicted model, not a curated record.